CCCAGGUCAACCUACCAGCCUCCCAGUCUGCUCCAGCCCAGGUCAAUCUACCUGUCUCACAGUCUGCUCCAGCCCAGGUCAGAAUACCAGCUUCCCAGUCUGCUCCAGCCCAGGUCAAUCUACCAGUCUCCCAGUCUGCUCCAGCCCAGGUCAGAAUACCAGCCUCCCAGUCUGCUCCAGCCCAGAUCAGAUCAGGAUACCAGCCUCCCAGUCUGCUCCAGCCCAGGUCAGAAUACCAGCCUCCCAGUCUGCUCCAGCCCAGGUCAAUCUACCAGUCUCCCAGUCUGCUCCAGCCCAGGUCAGAAUACCAGCCUCCCAGUCUGCUCCAGCCCAG
This is a long non-coding RNA of Oncorhynchus tshawytscha (Chinook salmon), 334 nucleotides long. The record is from Ensembl. NCBI's taxonomy places the organism in Eukaryota, Metazoa, Chordata, Actinopteri, Salmoniformes, Salmonidae.